CGCGGGGUAGAGCAGUGGUAGCUCGUCAGGCUCAUAAUCUGAAGGUCGGUGGUUCGAUCCCACCCCCCGCCACCA
Molecule: transfer RNA, 75 nt
Filed under: Candidatus Altimarinota bacterium
Lineage: Bacteria; Candidatus Altimarinota
Also listed under: 2 other names
Description: tRNA-Met
Rfam family: tRNA
About the family: Transfer RNA (tRNA) molecules are approximately 80 nucleotides in length. Their secondary structure includes four short double-helical elements and three loops (D, anti-codon, and T loops). Further hydrogen bonds mediate the characteristic L-shaped molecular structure. tRNAs have two regions of fundamental functional importance: the anti-codon, which is responsible for specific mRNA codon recognition, and the 3' end, to which the tRNAs corresponding amino acid is attached (by aminoacyl-tRNA synthetases). tRNAs cope with the degeneracy of the genetic code in two manners: having more than one tRNA (with a specific anti-codon) for a particular amino acid; and 'wobble' base-pairing, i.e. permitting non-standard base-pairing at the 3rd anti-codon position.
Source: RNAcentral